Molecule: long non-coding RNA, 636 nt
Filed under: Homo sapiens (human)
Lineage: Eukaryota; Metazoa; Chordata; Mammalia; Primates; Hominidae
Description: novel transcript
Source: RNAcentral
GGCCCCGCCCACGUCAUGGCGCCUGAGGAGAACGCGGGUACCAAACUCUUGCUGCAGAGUUUCGAGCGCCGCUUCCUAGCGGCGCGCACACUGCGCUCCUUCCCCUGGCAGUAACCUGAAGCUUUCACCGUAGACGUGCUGUAUUGCCCAGAAGCCAUCGUGUCCCUGGUCGGGGUCCUGCGGAGGCUGGCUGCCUGCUGGGAGCACCAGCGGGCUCCUGAGGUCUACAUGGCCUUUACCGUCCGCAACCCAGAGACGUGCCAGGUGUUCACCACCGAGCUAGGCUGGGCUGGGAUCAGAUGGGAAGCGGAAGCUCAUCAUGACCAGAAACUGUUUCCCUAUGGAGAGCACUUGGAGAUGGCAAUGCUGAACCUCACACUGUAGGACUCAUACACGACUCCAACGGGAUUGUUAGAAUCAAAUCACUCUCGUGGGAAGAAUUUUUAUAUGGGAAAGCGGAUAAAACUUUCAUUGGACUGGAAUGUUUGGAGAAUGUUAAAUUCCAAAUCAGGAACCACAAUCUGCCCUCUAAUAAGACAUCGGCUAUCUAAGCAUGUGGGUGCCCCCUUUCUGCCAGCAGUUCUGGUUCUUAAGAAAAUCACCAUAAAUCAGACAUGAAAAUUCUGGCUCCAAAAA